CUUCUCUGGGCUACGCAGGAAAGUGGGUCACACGAGGAUUGCUCUGGGGAAUUGGUCCCAGUGUCCCUCACUCCUGUCUGCCAUUCCUUGGAGUAGAGCCGACGCCAUCCCCGCGGCUGGCAGGAGAACACAAAGGAAACCCUGAUUCGGUCCCUGGACCUUAGGGUCACUGUAAGCAGGAGGCUGGUGUGUUUUCCAGUCUCAGAGCCCCGGCCGCCCGCGGGAACAAUAGCGGCCGCCUGCCCGGGAGGUCGGGCGUUCGGCACAAAGCCGGCUUGGUCCGCGCGGUCGGCCACACGACGCGCGCGCUGACCCGGCUGCCGUCGCUCGCCGGUGUUCCCGCGUCCACCUGAAACUCUCCGAGAAAGACAAACGCGGUUCCUCCUACUUUAGAGCAAGUCUGGGCCAGCUGGGAGCCGACCAGAAACCGCAAGCGGAGGAGACGCUGGCGCUCCGGGUGAGCGCUAAGGGAGGAGGCGACACACAGCCCUGCGCCUGCCCAGCAGCGACGAAGGUAGCGCUCCAGGCACGCCGCAGGGGAAGGUCGGGGACGUCUCUGCGCGGCACACGAAGGGGAGGGUCACUUCUUACUUUUGAUCUCUAACCGCAGUCCACCAGCACGGACCUCGAACUUCACAGCAAAUCUACACCCACGCUGUCCCCUGACCCAUUGUGACCCGGCAUUUUCCCUCCUACCCAAGUGACACUCACAUAGGCCGCUCUAUUUCUAGAAAGAGAAACCCUCUCUCUGGAGGCAGAGCAAGAACAAUCCCAAUGAAUCAAGGCUUCUUAUUGACCCCAAGUCUGCCUUCAGGCCUCUCUGCGUGGGAGUAAGUAGGUCAAGGCUGCCACUGAACUUGGAGUAAACUUGAAUUCCCUUUAAAGUUACAAUAAACGUAUGUACAUAUUCAUCUAC
Molecule: long non-coding RNA, 916 nt
Filed under: Mus pahari (shrew mouse)
Lineage: Eukaryota; Metazoa; Chordata; Mammalia; Rodentia; Muridae
Description: lncRNA (MGP_PahariEiJ_G0005480.1)
Source: RNAcentral